AACCUGGGGAAACCCAGGCUAAUACYGCAUACGUCCUACGGGAGAAAGGGGGCUCCGGCUCCCGCUAUGGGAUGAGCCUAUGUCGGAUUAGCUAGUUGGUGAGGUAACGGCUCACCAAGGCCACGAUCCGUAGCUGGUCUGAGAGGAUGAUCAGCCACAUCGGGACUGAGACACGGCCCGAACUCCUACGGGAGGCAGCAGUGGGGAAUAUUGGACAAUGGGCGAAAGCCUGAUCCAGCCAUGCCGCGUGUGUGAAGAAGGCCCUCGGGUUGUAAAGCACUUUCAGCGAGGAAGAACGCCUAGCGGUUAAUACCCGCUAGGAAAGACAUCACUCGCAGAAGAAGCACCGGCUAACUCCGUGCCAGCAGCCGCGGUAAUACGGAGGGUGCAAGCGUUAAUCGGAAUUACUGGGCGUAAAGCGCGCGUAGGUGGCUUGAUAAGCCGGUUGUGAAAGCCCCGGGCUCAACCUGGGAACGGCAUCCGGAACUGUCAAGCUAGAGUGCAGGAGAGGAAGGUAGAAUUCCCGGUGUAGCGGUGAAAUGCGUAGAGAUCGGGAGGAGUACCAGUGGCGAAGGCGGCCUUCUGGACUGACACUGACACUGAGGUGCGAAAGCGUGGGUAGCAAACAGGAUUAGAUACCCUGGUAGUCCACGCCGUAAACGAUGUCGACCAGCCGUUGGGUGCCUAGCGCACUUUGUGGCGAAGUUAACGCGAUAAGUCGACCGCCUGGGGAGUACGGCCGCAAGGUUAAAACUCAAAUGAAUUGACGGGGGCCCGCACAAGCGGUGGAGCAUGUGGUUUAAUUCGAUGCAACGCGAAGAACCUUACCUACUCCUGACAUCCUGCGAAUUCGGUAGAGAUACCUUAGUGCCUUCGGGAACGCAGAGACAGGUGCUGCAUGGCUGUCGUCAGCUCGUGUUGUGAAAUGUUGGGUUAAGUCCCGUAACGAGCGCAACCCUUGUCCUUAUUUGCCAGCGCGUAAUGGCGGGAACUCUAAGGAGACUGCCGGUGACAAACCGGAGGAAGGUGGGGACGACGUCAAGUCAUCAUGGCCCUUACGAGUAGGGCUACACACGUGCUACAAUGGUCGGUACAAAGGGUUGCCAACUCGCGAGAGUGAGCCAAUCCCGAAAAGCCGAUCUCAGUCCGGAUCGGAGUCUGCAACUCGACUCCGUGAAGUCGGAAUCGCUAGUAAUCGUGGAUCAGAAUGCCACGGUGAAUACGUUCCCG
RNAcentral lists this ribosomal RNA (1230 nucleotides) under uncultured Halomonas sp. RNAcentral's name for it is "bacterial SSU rRNA". It matches the Rfam family "Bacterial small subunit ribosomal RNA", at positions 145 to 1376 of the family's 1533-position model. The record is from RNAcentral. Lineage: Bacteria; Pseudomonadati; Pseudomonadota; Gammaproteobacteria; Oceanospirillales; Halomonadaceae.